CUUAGAAGAAGCAAAAUGACGACUCGGACAACAAUAAUACAAAACUAAUACUUAUUGUUGUCGGAGUCGUCAUUUUGCAUCUUCUAAG
Non-coding RNA from Arabidopsis thaliana (thale cress), 88 nucleotides. NCBI's taxonomy places the organism in Eukaryota, Viridiplantae, Streptophyta, Magnoliopsida, Brassicales, Brassicaceae. The record is from RefSeq.